AAAAUGCACAUGCUGUGAGCUCGAUGAGUAGGGCGGGACACGUGGUAUCCUGUCUGAAUAUGGGGGGACCAUCCUCCAAGGCUAAAUACUCCUGACUGACCGAUAGUGAACCAGUACCGUGAGGGAAAGGCGAAAAGAACCCCGGCGAGGGGAGUGAAAAAGAACCUGAAACCGUGUACGUACAAGCAGUGGGAGCACGCUUAGGCGUGUGACUGCGUACCUUUUGUAUAAUGGGUCAGCGACUUAUAUUCUGUAGCAAGGUUAACCGAAUAGGGGAGCCGAAGGGAAACCGAGUCUUAACUGGGCGUUAAGUUGCAGGGUAUAGACCCGAAACCCGGUGAUCUAGCCAUGGGCAGGUUGAAGGUUGGGUAACACUAACUGGAGGACCGAACCGACUAAUGUUGAAAAAUUAGCGGAUGACUUGUGGCUGGGGGUGAAAGGCCAAUCAAACCGGGAGAUAGCUGGUUCUCCCCGAAAGCUAUUUAGGUAGCGCCUCGUGAAUUCAUCUCCGGGGGUAGAGCACUGUUUCGGCAAGGGGGUCAUCCCGACUUACCAACCCGAUGCAAACUGCGAAUACCGGAGAAUGUUAUCACGGGAGACACACGGCGGGUGCUAACGUCCGUCGUGAAGAGGGAAACAACCCAGACCGCCAGCUAAGGUCCCAAAGUCAUGGUUAAGUGGGAAACGAUGUGGGAAGGCCCAGACAGCCAGGAUGUUGGCUUAGAAGCAGCCAUCAUUUAAAGAAAGCGUAAUAGCUCACUGGUCGAGUCGGCCUGCGCGGAAGAUGUAACGGGGCUAAACCAUGCACCGAAGCUGCGGCAGCGACGCUGAUGCGUUGUUGGGUAGGGGAGCGUUCUGUAAGCCUGCGAAGGUGUGCUGUGAGGCAUGCUGGAGGUAUCAGAAGUGCGAAUGCUGACAUAAGUAACGAUAAAGCGGGUGAAAAGCCCGCUCGCCGGAAGACCAAGGGUUCCUGUCCAACGUUAAUCGGGGCAGGGUGAGUCGACCCCUAAGGCGAGGCCGAAAGGCGUAGUCGAUGGGAAACAGGUUAAUAUUCCUGUACUUGGUGUUACUGCGAAGGGGGGACGGAGAAGGCUAUGUUGGCCGGGCGACGGUUGUCCCGGUUUAAGCGUGUAGGCUGGUUUUCCAGGCAAAUCCGGAAAAUCAAGGCUGAGGCGUGAUGACGAGGCACUACGGUGCUGAAGCAACAAAUGCCCUGCUUCCAGGAAAAGCCUCUAAGCAUCAGGUAACAUCAAAUCGUACCCCAAACCGACACAGGUGGUCAGGUAGAGAAUACCAAGGCGCUUGAGAGAACUCGGGUGAAGGAACUAGGCAAAAUGGUGCCGUAACUUCGGGAGAAGGCACGCUGAUAUGUAGGUGAAGCGACUUGCUCGUGGAGCUGAAAUCAGUCGAAGAUACCAGCUGGCUGCAACUGUUUAUUAAAAACACAGCACUGUGCAAACACGAAAGUGGACGUAUACGGUGUGACGCCUGCCCGGUGCCGGAAGGUUAAUUGAUGGGGUUAGCGCAAGCGAAGCUCUUGAUCGAAGCCCCGGUAAACGGCGGCCGUAACUAUAACGGUCCUAAGGUAGCGAAAUUCCUUGUCGGGUAAGUUCCGACCUGCACGAAUGGCGUAAUGAUGGCCAGGCUGUCUCCACCCGAGACUCAGUGAAAUUGAACUCGCUGUGAAGAUGCAGUGUACCCGCGGCAAGACGGAAAGACCCCGUGAACCUUUACUAUAGCUUGACACUGAACAUUGAGCCUUGAUGUGUAGGAUAGGUGGGAGGCUUUGAAGUGUGGACGCCAGUCUGCAUGGAGCCGACCUUGAAAUACCACCCUUUAAUGUUUGAUGUUCUAACGUUGACCCGUGAUCCGGGUUGCGGACAGUGUCUGGUGGGUAGUUUGACUGGGGCGGUCUCCUCCUAAAGAGUAACGGAGGAGCACGAAGGUUGGCUAAUCCUGGUCGGACAUCAGGAGGUUAGUGCAAUGGCAUAAGCCAGCUUGACUGCGAGCGUGACGGCGCGAGCAGGUGCGAAAGCAGGUCAUAGUGAUCCGGUGGUUCUGAAUGGAAGGGCCAUCGCUCAACGGAUAAAAGGUACUCCGGGGAUAACAGGCUGAUACCGCCCAAGAGUUCAUAUCGACGGCGGUGUUUGGCACCUCGAUGUCGGCUCAUCACAUCCUGGGGCUGAAGUAGGUCCCAAGGGUAUGGCUGUUCGCCAUUUAAAGUGGUACGCGAGCUGGGUUUAGAACGUCGUGAGACAGUUCGGUCCCUA
RNAcentral lists this ribosomal RNA (2270 nucleotides) under Escherichia coli. RNAcentral describes it as "partial 23S ribosomal RNA". It matches the Rfam family "Bacterial large subunit ribosomal RNA", at positions 382 to 2640 of the family's 2925-position model. The record is from RNAcentral. Lineage: Bacteria; Pseudomonadati; Pseudomonadota; Gammaproteobacteria; Enterobacterales; Enterobacteriaceae.